AUCCAACCCGACCGUCUACUUGAUGCGGAAUUCUACAUACAAUUGUCAAUGCAAGUCUUCUAAAUGUUCAAGAAUUUUUAGCCCAAUCCAACUUACAAAUUGUGAGAAAUCCUCCAAAAAUUGCACCAAUGUCACUCGGUCACCAACUUGAAAAGUGAAGCAAAAAUCCCAGCAAUGAUUUCUUCUUCUCCAACUAUUAAAUUUUUUUCAAAAUUGGUGUGUAUUUUGAUCUUUAAGUCUUCCAAUAGCAUGCCAAUUUUCAUCUUAAUCCGACUAAUAGAUCUUUAGAUAUCAUAGAAACCCUACUUAACCUCAAACUGCCACCUUCUGAAACCCUCUUGUGCUAAAAACUAGAUAUCUCUAAACCACGCCAUUAGAUUAUUAAAAUUUUUUUUAUACACUUAGCAUACCCAAUAAUCCAAAUAAUAUCAAAUUUUCAACCAUAGAUGUCAUGCCAAUUGUACGAACUAGCCAAAAUUGCUAGUCCUAAUUAUAUUUUAUAAAAC
Molecule: long non-coding RNA, 506 nt
Filed under: Physcomitrium patens
Lineage: Eukaryota; Viridiplantae; Streptophyta; Bryopsida; Funariales; Funariaceae
Description: long non-coding RNA (PPAT_LNC004725)
Source: RNAcentral